UCACAGGUGAUGUUUUGAACCAACGACGGGCGGAACCCGUCUUCCACAUCUUUGGUUGAACCGACGACGGGCGGAACCCGUCUUCCACAUUUCAUUUCCGGGGUUUCCCCGAAGUCAAAAUUAAGCCUGAUUGCGCGCAGGUGGGGAUAAUUUGCACAGCGGUCGCUGAUAGGCUGACGAGGAGAAGAGUCAGUGCAUAAAAAGACCUUUGAAGACACCAAACGGUGUGCUUGUGGUGUACUUUGUAUACGCUGUGUUGCUGCUUUGCAGACGGACCACGCUGGCUGGAUCGCUCUCCUGGGGAAGAGAGAAAGGGGCAGUUAGCUGACGAAGGAAUAUUGUGGAGUUUCAUUGAGAAAGAGCCUACACAGAGCCAUCAAGAGUGCAGUUAAUAGCUGUUGUUGACAACGAAGUGUGAGUAACAGCUGUGGUACUUAUCUGUGCAAUACUUGUACAAAGAGUGUUUGGUGUGUUCCUUUGUGUUUUUGAGGUCCCUGGCCCCACUGGAGAGGGAAGCGUGGGCGAGCCGUGGUUUGACCGGAAGCACGGACGAAGCACUUGGUAGGAAGCAUCGUUCACCAGUAGAACAGUGGCCCUGUGGGAAAAAGGAAGCGCAGGUGAGCCAGAGGAGCGAUAAUCAACACGCCGGGCCUGUGAAUAACACACAUCUCACUCUCAUCGGCGGUCCAGCGAUCGCCCAACCAUCCUCUCGAGGUCGUCGUAGCCAGGUGGCAAGAGCAAUCUAAAAACCACGUGAAGUUGUAUAAGAGUGCUGUGGGUGAGUUUCACUGAUUGAUGGUGUUUACACUUUACUUGCUGUGUGUAUGCUGUGCUUGUAGCGUUCAAACCGCCUAGCCCUGACGAGUCACGAGACGGCGACAUCCGUUGUGGCCUGGGUCCUAAGGAGAGCGAGAAAAUUUGAGCCCUGUGCCCGGGGUGUGUCAACGAGAGCUUCGUUUGUCCAUAGAGCAGACAGUGGUGAAACCCAGUGAGUAUUAUCAAGAGUGUACCGUGCGGACUGUGGGUUGUAACGGUGUGUGUACUGACCUCUCCAACAGAAGCUCGUGGUGAGCGGAGCCCCGACGAAGGUUCGCCCCAACUCGUGACCCCGGUCGUGGAAGAAGGAGGGGGAGUUUGGGAAGCGUUCGGCUCCGUGUCAUCGGACCCACUAGUCCCUACGACGCCCGGACAGCCGGAGUGGAUGGGCGAAGGAAUACGGUGCACUGACACUGCAGCGAAAAUCCACUGUUUGCAGCAAUCACCUACCUGUACAAGUGAAGCUCUGUGUGCAUGAAGAUCCCCAGUGCUAAAUUACCUACCUGUGCCGGUGAAGCUCUGUGUGGGAACGAGGAUCCUCCAGUGCUGUGGGUAACGUAACCUGUGGAGAGAACUUGACCUGUGGCUAUAGCCAUCACUUACCGUUCCAACGAAGGUCCCGUGUUGAACGAACAGCGACUAGUAACAAAGUACCUUACCCUUGUCUGAUUAUUAUUCUGAUUCUGCCUCCAGGAGAAGCGGAGCGCGCCACGGAUUGUUGGGCCAGAGCCCCCAAAGGAGCCCCUGUCCCCAGUCUUUCCCCCAAGUGGCCCUGGAGGCGAAGAAGAGACACACUAGUUUUAAAUUACCCUUUCCCCUUCCCCCUUUCCUUUUAAAUAUUUAAUAAAGCUUGUUUUAACUGUA
Molecule: non-coding RNA, 1680 nt
Organism: Misgurnus anguillicaudatus (oriental weatherfish)
Lineage: Eukaryota; Metazoa; Chordata; Actinopteri; Cypriniformes; Cobitidae
Source: RefSeq, a predicted model, not a curated record